GCCGGGGUAGCUCAGUGGUAGAGCAAAAGACUGAAAAUCUUUGUGUCGGCAGUUCGAUUCUGCCUCCCGGCACCA
Molecule: transfer RNA, 75 nt
Filed under: Candidatus Babelota bacterium
Lineage: Bacteria
Also listed under: 1 other name
Description: tRNA-Phe
Rfam family: tRNA
About the family: Transfer RNA (tRNA) molecules are approximately 80 nucleotides in length. Their secondary structure includes four short double-helical elements and three loops (D, anti-codon, and T loops). Further hydrogen bonds mediate the characteristic L-shaped molecular structure. tRNAs have two regions of fundamental functional importance: the anti-codon, which is responsible for specific mRNA codon recognition, and the 3' end, to which the tRNAs corresponding amino acid is attached (by aminoacyl-tRNA synthetases). tRNAs cope with the degeneracy of the genetic code in two manners: having more than one tRNA (with a specific anti-codon) for a particular amino acid; and 'wobble' base-pairing, i.e. permitting non-standard base-pairing at the 3rd anti-codon position.
Source: RNAcentral